RNAcentral lists this ribosomal RNA (478 nucleotides) under uncultured bacterium. RNAcentral's name for it is "partial 16S ribosomal RNA". It matches the Rfam family "Bacterial small subunit ribosomal RNA", at positions 28 to 507 of the family's 1533-position model. The record is from RNAcentral.
GAUGAACGCUGGCGGCGUGCUUAACACAUGCAAGUCGAACGAGAAGUGAAGACGGAAACCUUCGGGCGGAAGGCUUUAUUUCGAGUGGCGGACGGGUGAGUAACGCGUGGGUAACCUGCCUCAUACAGGGGGAUAACAGUUGGAAACGACUGUUAAUACCGCAUCAGACCACAGCACCGCAUGGUGCGGGGGUAAAAACUCCGGUGGUAUGAGAUGGACCCGCGUUCGAUUAGCCAGUUGGCGGGGUAACGGCCCACCAAAGCGACGAUCGAUAGCCGAUCUGAGAGGAUGACCGGCCACAUUGGGAAUGAGACACGGCCCAAACUCCUACGGGAGGCAGCAGUGGGGAAUAUUGCACAAUGGGGGAAACCCUGAUGCAGCGACGCCGCGUGAGUGAAGAAGUAUUUCGGUAUGUAAAGCUCUAUCAGCAGGGAAGAAAAUGACGGUACCUGAGGAAGAAGCCCCGGCUAACUACGUG